CAGGCCUUCUUUUUUUAAAAAAAAAAAAAUUUAAAACCCCUUUUUUUAUUUUGUGUUUCCAGCCCCCAUUUUGAAAAGAAAAAACAGAGAGUUCCUUGGCUCUCUCUCCUUCAUUUUCCCUUUGGCUAGGAUUUAUAUCCAUUAUUGCCGCCGCCAUGGAGCCUCCGUAGAUGGUGGUCGGGGUUGCGCGAAUGGAUCUUUUGACCCCGAUUUUAGGGAGCCCGAAGGCCUUAUUUUCCUAGCCCGAAAAUAUGAAAGGAGAGACCCCCAUUUUCCUUUUUGAGAGCCGAUUUCAACGAUAGAGUAGGGCUCCGAUGUGGUGGCUCCGAGGUUCGGGCAAGUGGAGCAAAUGAGGGUGGAUGGCCAACUAUGGAGUGGGUUAUGGUGGCAGACAGUAGGGAGGCAUACCUAGGAAAUUUUUUUUUUGGGGUAUUGGACUAGGAUUAGGUAUUAAGUUGGGCCAAAAUUGGGCCUCAACACAUGAAAUUUAACUUGAAUAUAUUACUAAUUUAGUUUUGAGAGACAUUGAGGAAUCAUAUAAUGAUUUAACUUUUUUUUUCCUGUUUUUAAUCUAUUAUUUGAUUUUGUUGAA
Molecule: long non-coding RNA, 592 nt
Organism: Gossypium arboreum
Lineage: Eukaryota; Viridiplantae; Streptophyta; Magnoliopsida; Malvales; Malvaceae
Exons: 2
Source: RefSeq, a predicted model, not a curated record